Molecule: long non-coding RNA, 1287 nt
Filed under: Zonotrichia albicollis (white-throated sparrow)
Lineage: Eukaryota; Metazoa; Chordata; Aves; Passeriformes; Passerellidae
Description: lncRNA (ENSZALG00000000647.1)
Source: RNAcentral
UGUCCCCAAUGUCCCCCACUGUCCCCAUUGUCCCCAGUGUCCCCAAUGUCCCCAAAGUCCCCAAUGUCCCCAAUGUCCCUGUGUGUCCCCAGUGUGUCCUGUGUGUCCCCACUGUCCCCACUGUCCCCAGUGUCACCACUGUCCCCACUGUCCCCAAUGUCCCCACUGUCCCCAGUGUCCCCACUGUCCCCACUGUCCCCACUGUCCCCAAUGUCCCCAUUGUCCCCAUGUCCCCGUGUCCCCAGGUCCCGGCUCGUGUCGGACACGCAGAAGCAGCUGCAGGUUCAGGUCAAGCUGGGCACACUGCAUGUCCCCAUUGUCCCCAAUGUCCCUGUGAGUCCCCAGUGUCCCUGAUGUCCCGACUGUCCCCAAUGUCCCCAGCAUGUCUCCAGUGUCCCUGCCUGUCCCUGAGUGUCCCCUGUGUGUCCCCACUGUCCCCAUUGUCCCCAAUGUCCCCAAUGUCCCCAAUGUCCCUGUGUGUCCCCAAUGUCCCCAUGUCCCCAAUGUCCCCAGUGUCCCCACUGUCCCCACUGUCCCCAAUGUCCCCAAUGUCCCUGUGUGCCCCCACUGUCCCCAGUGUCCCCAGUGUCCCCACUGUCCCCAAUGUCCCCACUGUCCCCAGUGUCCCCACUGUCCCCAAUGUCCCCAGUGUCCCCACUGUCCCCAAUGUCCCNAGGGAGCACCGGCACCACCCGUGAGUGUUAAUUAGCGUUAAUUACCCUAAUUACUGUCAUUAGUGUCAUUGCUGUCCCUGCUGCUGGCACUGAUCCCACCCGUCAGUGUCAGUCACUGUCAUUGCUGUCAUUGCUGUAACCGGGAGUGCCACCAGGGGGAGCACUGGCACCACCCGUGAGUGGUUUAAUUACUAAUUGUUUAAAUUAAUUAGUUUUUAAUCAAUUUUAAUUGAGUUGUCUAUGGUUUUGCUGUUUUUUAUUGGCCAAACUUGGGGGAAUCAAUAAUUGCUUUGAUUGCUUAGCUGAGCACGUGUUUAAUUAGCUUGAUCACCUCAUUAAUUAGCUAAUUACUUAAUCAUUAAUGGCGUUAAUGAGCAAUUAAGAAGCGCUUUUGUUGGGUAAGUUCUAAUGUAAUUAAUGUAUUAAUGUAAUUAAUGUAAUUAAUGUAAUUAAUGUAAUUAGGAAUUAAAUGACAGAAUCUGUUACCUGGGGCAUCUCAUUAACUAAAGUCCCUUAAUCCAUGGAGUUAAUUAGAUAAUUGAGGCCUAAUGAGGAUUAAUUAGUGCAUUAAUGGGUAAUGAGCUAAUAAACUUCAUUUUGCUUUUCUCUCCCA